RNAcentral lists this ribosomal RNA (497 nucleotides) under uncultured bacterium. RNAcentral describes it as "partial 16S ribosomal RNA". It matches the Rfam family "Bacterial small subunit ribosomal RNA", at positions 28 to 507 of the family's 1533-position model. The record is from RNAcentral.
GAUGAACGCUGGCGGCGUGCCUAAUACAUGCAAGUCGAGCGAACGGACGAGGAGCUUGCGUCGCUGAUGUUAGCGGCAGACGUGAGAGAAACGCGUGGAUAACCUACCUAUAAGUCUGGGAUAACUUCGGGACACCGGCGCUAAUACCGGAUGAUCUUUUGCACCGCGUGGUUCAAAAGUGAAAGACGGUCUUGCUGUCACUUCUCGAUGGAUCCGCGCUGCAUUAGAUAGUUGUUAAGGUCACGGCUUACCAAGGCAACGAUGCAUAGCCGACCUGAGAGGGUGAUCGGCCACACUGGAACUGAGACACGGUCCAUACUACUACGGGAGGCAGCAGUAGGGAAUCUUCCGCAAUGGGCGAAAGCCUGACGGAGCAACGCCGCGUGAGUGAUGAAGGUCUUCGGAGCGUAAAACUCUGUUACUAGGGAAGAACAUAUGUGUAAGUAACUGUGCACAGCGUGACGGUACCUAAUCAGAAAGCCACGGCUAACUACGUG